Molecule: microRNA, 22 nt
Filed under: Heliconius melpomene (postman butterfly)
Lineage: Eukaryota; Metazoa; Arthropoda; Insecta; Lepidoptera; Nymphalidae
Description: Hme-Mir-29-P2h_5p* (star (passenger))
Source: RNAcentral
AGCUACAUCCCGUGGGGCUCCA